GUGAAGAGCUGAGCCCAGGCUGGGAAGGUGUCUGGCCUGUGAAACCCUGCAGUUUGCCUAAAACAACAUUUAGGUUCCUGUAUGAACACUAUGGCUAUACCCUGGUUCUUUGAGGAACAGUAUGGGGAAGAGAUGAAUUAUAGCACAACUUGGUGAGUGAAAUGGUAGGGGCCAAAUCCUGCUUUCCAGUAUUCAGUGUGGUUCAUCCAUAUCCAGGAUAGAAUUUCACCUUGGGAAUAUUACUUAAGCAUGUGCAUGUCUCAUAAUUCCAUUAGGGAAGACAGUCUGGAAAUACUGGCAGGUGUCAGCCAUGCUGUCUAUCUUUCAUGGGCUGAUAUUUCCUUUUGUCCUGCUUAUCUGGUUUAUAUGCUCAUCAUUAGUAGAUUUGCAGUAACUAUACAGUUCAAAGGCAACUUUCUCUAACGUUCUAAAAUGUUCACUAUUUCUCAUUAAACAUGGCAUUGGCAGUUCUUAGACUUGGGUACAACCACAAUACAAAUAGCUCUCCACUAAAAGUAUCUAGGAGCCCCAGUCAUUGACCAGGACACCAUUGUACUAGGUCCCCGUCUCAGAGAACUUAGUCUUCUCAUAAUUCCCCCCUGGCCACCCAUUUGUAUCUGUCUCCUAACACUCAGACUCUGAAGGCUUUUAGUCUUUAAUCUGUACACUUCUUUCAGGCUGUAACUCACCAUUUUUAUUGUACUUUUUUCUCUCUUUGGAAGCAUAUACAUUACUUCAACUCGGAGUUUGUUGCUUAAGACUUAUUUGUAAUUAGACAAUUGUUGCUCUUUGUUUUAAUGGAAGGCCAGGAACAUUGUCCCAAAGAAGAAAACUGACAAUCAUCGCUCCAGGGUAGCUUAUUUUGUUUGUGAAACUCCCACAAGUGUUCUGAUCAGAUCCAUGCGAGUAAUGCUUUUCACACAUAAAGCAGUUUGCUUUCCAUUUCUCUCAGAAAGAGCUGACUCAGGUUAAUGUGACCUCAGUUUAUUUAUUAAUACAAUGUCUUUCACUAUUUACUGCUGAAAAACUGACGACAAAUGAUUGGACUUU
Molecule: long non-coding RNA, 1050 nt
Organism: Chelonia mydas (Green sea turtle)
Lineage: Eukaryota; Metazoa; Chordata; Testudines; Cheloniidae
Exons: 3
Source: RefSeq, a predicted model, not a curated record